Molecule: unclassified non-coding RNA, 433 nt
Filed under: soil metagenome
Description: partial contains 5.8S ribosomal RNA, internal transcribed spacer 2, and large subunit ribosomal RNA
Rfam family: 5.8S ribosomal RNA (bases 1-120)
Source: RNAcentral
GAUGAAGAACGUAGCGAAAUGCGAUACGUAAUGUGAAUUGCAGAAUUCAGUGAAUCAUCGAAUCUUUGAACGCAAAUUGCGCUCUCUGGUAUUCCGGAGAGCAUGCUUGUUUGAGUAUCAGUAAACACCUCAACUUCCAUAUCUUUUUUUGAAAUGGGAGUUGGACUUGAGUGAUCCCAACGCUUUUCCUCACCGAAAAGUGGCGGGUUACUUGAAAUGCAGGUGCAGCUGGACUUUUCUCUGAGCUAUAAGCAUAUCUAUUUAGUCUGCCUAAAAAACAGAUUAUUACCUUUGCUGCAGCUAACAUAAAGGAGAUUAGUUCUUGUGCUGACUGAUGCAGGAUUCACAAAGACAGCUUCGGCCGACUUUGUAAACUCGAUCUCAAAUCAAGUAAGACUACCCGCUGAACUUAAGCAUAUCAAUAAGCGGAGGA